Molecule: small RNA, 99 nt
Filed under: Escherichia coli
Lineage: Bacteria; Pseudomonadati; Pseudomonadota; Gammaproteobacteria; Enterobacterales; Enterobacteriaceae
Description: partial RtT sRNA
Rfam family: RtT RNA
About the family: This family represents a bacterial cis-regulatory element known as RtT RNA.
Source: RNAcentral
GACUAAGGUUCGACUCGAGCGCCAGCGAGAGAGCAUUGCCGCAGGCAACGACCCGUAGGGCGAAGCGCGCAGCGCUGAGUAAUCCUUCCCCCACCACCA